AGGACGAAGUGACUGAGACCACGCUUCCAGGAAAAGCCACUAAGCUUCAGCUGUAGAAAAACCGUACCGCAAACCGACACUGGUAGGCAGGGUGAGAAUCCCAAGGCGCUUGAGAGAACUCGGGUGAAGGAACUAGGCAAAAUGGCACCGUAACUUCGGGAGAAGGUGCGCCCUUUGGUGUGGUCACGUGCGUGACUGAGCAUCGAAGGGUCGCAGUAACCUGGCCGCUGCGACUGUUUAUCAAAAACACAGCACUCUGCAAACACGAAAGUGGACGUAUAGGGUGUGACGCCUGCCCGGUGCUGGAAGGUUAAUUGAUGGGGUCAGCCGCAAGGCGAAGCUCUUGAUCGAAGCCCCAGUAAACGGCGGCCGUAACAAUAACGGUCCUAAGGUAGCGAAAUUCCUUGUCGGGUAAGUUCCGACCUGCACGAAUGGCGUAACGACAGCGGCGCUGUCUCCACCCGAGACUCAGUGAAAUUGAAAUCGCUGUGAAGAUGCAGCGUUCCCGCGGCAAGACGGAAAGACCCCGUGAACCUUUACUAUAGCUUUACAUUGAACGUUGAGUUCUUCUGUGUAGGAUAGGUGGGAGGCUAUGAAACCGAGACGCUGGUUUCGGUGGAGCCAUCCUUGAAAUACCACCCUGAAGUGCUUGACGUUCUAACCUAGGUCCGUAAUCCGGAUCGGGGACCAUGUAUGGUGGGUAGUUUGACUGGGGCGGUCUCCUCCCAAAGAGUAACGGAGGAGCACGAAGGUACGCUCAGCGCGGUCGGACAUCGCGCACUGUGUGCAAAGGCAUAAGCGUGCUUGACUGCGAGAUCGACGGAUCAAGCAGGUACGAAAGUAGGUCUUAGUGAUCCGGUGGUUCUGUAUGGAAGGGCCAUCGCUCAACGGAUAAAAGGUACUCCGGGGAUAACAGGCUGAUACCGCCCAAGAGUUCAUAUCGACGGCGGUGUUUGGCACCUCGAUGUCGGCUCAUCACAUCCUGGGGCUGUAGCCGGUCCCAAGGGUAUGGCUGUUCGCCAUUUAAAGUGGUACGCGAGCUGGGUUCAGAACGUCGUGAGACAGUUCGGUCCCUAUCUGUCGUGGGCGUUGGAGAUUUGAGGGGGGCUGCUCCUAGUACGAGAGGACCGGAGUGGACGUUCCGCUGGUGUUCGGGUUGUCAUGCCCAUGGCAUUGCCCGGUAGCUACGAACGGAAGUGAUAACCGCUGAAAGCAUCUAAGCGGGAAGCACGCCCCAAGAUGAGAUCUCCCGAGAGCUAGACUCUCCUUAAGGCACCACCAAGACUAGGUGGUUGAUAGGCGCGGUGUGGAAGUGCAGCAAUGCAUUGAGCUUACGCGUACUAAUGAGCCGUGAGGCUUGACC
Molecule: ribosomal RNA, 1363 nt
Filed under: metagenome
Description: bacterial LSU rRNA
Rfam family: Bacterial large subunit ribosomal RNA
Source: RNAcentral